CCUACGGGUGGCAGCAGUGGGGAAUAUUGGACAAUGGGCGAAAGCCUGAUCCAGCCAUGCCGCGUGUGUGAAGAAGGCCUUCGGGUUGUAAAGCACUUUCAGUGGGGAAGAAAGCCUUGGGGCUAAUACCCUCGAGGAAGGACAUCACCCACAGAAGAAGCACCGGCUAACUCCGUGCCAGCAGCCGCGGUAAUACGGAGGGUGCGAGCGUUAAUCGGAAUUACUGUGCGUAAAGCGCGCGUAGGCGGUCUGAUAAGCCGGUUGUGAAAGCCCCGGGCUCAACCUGGGAACGGCAUCCGGAACUGUCAGGCUAGAGUGCAGGAGAGGAAGGUAGAAUUCCCGGUGUAGCGGUGAAAUGCGUAGAGAUCGGGAGGAAUACCAGUGGCGAAGGCGGCCUUCUGGACUGACACUGACGCUGAGGUGCGAAAGCGUGGGUAGCAAACAGGAUUAGAUACCCCGGUAGUC
This 465-nucleotide ribosomal RNA is filed under the name Vreelandella stevensii. RNAcentral's name for it is "partial 16S ribosomal RNA". It matches the Rfam family "Bacterial small subunit ribosomal RNA", at positions 338 to 795 of the family's 1533-position model. Lineage: Bacteria; Pseudomonadati; Pseudomonadota; Gammaproteobacteria; Oceanospirillales; Halomonadaceae. The record is from RNAcentral.